Molecule: ribosomal RNA, 253 nt
Filed under: uncultured bacterium
Lineage: Bacteria
Description: partial 16S ribosomal RNA
Rfam family: Bacterial small subunit ribosomal RNA
Source: RNAcentral
UACAGGGGGUGCGAGCGUUACUCGGAAUUACUGGGCGUAAAGCGCGCGUAGGCGGCUUUGCAAGUCGGGUGUGAAAUCCCCAGGCUUAACCUGGGAACUGCAUUCGAGACUGCAUUGCUAGAGUAUGGGAGAGGGAAGUGGAAUUUCCGGUGUAGCGGUGAAAUGCGUAGAUAUCGGAAGGAACAUCAGUGGCGAAAGCGACUUCCUGGACCAGUACCGACGUUCAGGCACGAAAGCGUGGGGAGCAAACAGG